AAGGCGAGGCCGAAAGGCGUAGUCGAUGGGAAACGGGUUAAUAUUCCCGUACUUGGUGUUACUGCGAAGGGGGGACGGAGAAGGCUAUGUUGGCCGGGCGACGGUUGUCCCGGUUUAAGCGUGUAGGUGUGUGUUCCAGGUAAAUCCGGUUCACUUUAACACUGAGGCGUGACGACGAGGCACUACGGUGCUGAAGCAACAAAUGCCCUGCUUCCAGGAAAAGCCUCUAAGCAUCAGGUAACAUCAAAUCGUACCCCAAACCGACACAGGUGGUCAGGUAGAGAAUACCAAGGCGCUUGAGAGAACUCGGGUGAAGGAACUAGGCAAAAUGGUGCCGUAACUUCGGGAGAAGGCACGCUGACACGUAGGUGAAGUGAUUUACUCAUGGAGCUGAAGUCAGUCGAAGAUACCAGCUGGCUGCAACUGUUUAUUAAAAACACAGCACUGUGCAAACACGAAAGUGGACGUAUACGGUGUGACGCCUGCCCGGUGCCGGAAGGUUAAUUGAUGGGGUCAGCGCAAGCGAAGCUCCUGAUCGAAGCCCCGGUAAACGGCGGCCGUAACUAUAACGGUCCUAAGGUAGCGAAAUUCCUUGUCGGGUAAGUUCCGACCUGCACGAAUGGCGUAAUGAUGGCCAGGCUGUCUCCACCCGAGACUCAGUGAAAUUGAACUCGCUGUGAAGAUGCAGUGUACCCGCGGCAAGACGGAAAGACCCCGUGAACCUUUACUAUAGCUUGACACUGAACAUUGAGCCUUGAUGUGUAGGAUAGGUGGGAGGCUUUGAAGUGUGGACGCCAGUCUGCAUGGAGCCGACCUUGAAAUACCACCCUUUAAUGUUUGAUGUUCUAACGUGGACCCGUUACCCGGGUUGCGGACAGUGUCUGGUGGGUAGUUUGACUGGGGCGGUCUCCUCCUAAAGAGUAACGGAGGAGCACGAAGGUUGGCUAAUCCUGGUCGGACAUCAGGAGGUUAGUGCAAUGGCAUAAGCCAGCUUGACUGCGAGCGUGACGGCGCGAGCAGGUGCGAAAGCAGGUCAUAGUGAUCCGGUGGUUCUGAAUGGAAGGGCCAUCGCUCAACGGAUAAAAGGUACUCCGGGGAUAACAGGCUGAUACCGCCCAAGAGUUCAUAUCGACGGCGGUGUUUGGCACCUCGAUGUCGGCUCAUCACAUCCUGGGGCUGAAGUAGGUCCCAAGGGUAUGGCUGUUCGCCAUUUAAAGUGGUACGCGAGCUGGGUUUAGAACGUCGUGAGACAGUUCGGUCCCUAUCUGCCGUGGGCGCUGGAGAACUGAGGGGGGCUGCUCCUAGUACGAGAGGACCGGAGUGGACGCAUCACUGGUGUUCGGGUUGUCAUGCCAAUGGCACUGCCCGGUAGCUAAAUGCGGAAGAGAUAAGUGCUGAAAGCAUCUAAGCACGAAACUUGCCCCGAGAUGAGUUCUCC
This 1438-nucleotide ribosomal RNA is filed under the name Salmonella enterica subsp. enterica serovar Enteritidis. RNAcentral's name for it is "partial 23S ribosomal RNA". It matches the Rfam family "Bacterial large subunit ribosomal RNA", at positions 1393 to 2814 of the family's 2925-position model. The record is from RNAcentral. Lineage: Bacteria; Pseudomonadati; Pseudomonadota; Gammaproteobacteria; Enterobacterales; Enterobacteriaceae.